Molecule: small nucleolar RNA, 106 nt
Filed under: Phaseolus vulgaris (common bean)
Lineage: Eukaryota; Viridiplantae; Streptophyta; Magnoliopsida; Fabales; Fabaceae
Description: Plant small nucleolar RNA R71
Rfam family: Plant small nucleolar RNA R71
About the family: R71 is a member of the C/D box family of snoRNAs containing the C (UGAUGA) and D (CUGA) box motifs.
Source: Rfam by way of RNAcentral
AACCCAUGAUUUGGGCAUAUGCUCAACAUCAUUUCAAAUCUCUCUCAUGUCUCACAGAAGGCUUCACCUGCUCCUUAUCUGAACAUAGAAAUCUAAUACUUUGAUU